Molecule: ribosomal RNA, 400 nt
Filed under: uncultured Anaerococcus sp.
Lineage: Bacteria; Bacillati; Bacillota; Tissierellia; Tissierellales; Peptoniphilaceae
Description: bacterial SSU rRNA
Rfam family: Bacterial small subunit ribosomal RNA
Source: RNAcentral
AGUGGGGAAUUUUGCACAAUGGGGGAAACCCUGAUGCAGCGACGCCGCGUGAUUUAGAAGGCCUUCGGGUUGUAAAAAUCUUUUUUACGGGAUGAAAAUGACAGUACCGUAAGAAUAAGGUCCGGCUAAAUACGUGCCAGCAGCCGCGGUAAUACGUAUGGACCGAGCGUUGUCCGGAAUCAUUGGGCGUAAAGGGUACGUAGGCGGCCUAGUAAGUUAGAAGUUAAAGAAUAUAGCUCAACUAUAUAAAGCUUUUAAAACUGCUAGGCUUGAGAGAUGGAAGGGAAAGUGGAAUUCCUAGUGUAGCGGUGAAAUGCGCAGAUAUUAGGAAGAAUACCGGUGGCGAAGGCGACUUUCUGGUCAUCAUCUGACGCUGAGGUACGAAAGCGUGGGUAGCAAA